GACGAACGCUGGCGGCGUGCCUAAUACAUGCAAGUAGAACGCACAGUUUAUACCGUAGCUUGCUACACCAUAGACUGUGAGUUGCGAACGGGUGAGUAACGCGUAGGUAACCUUCCUGGUAGCUGGGGAUAACUAUUGCAAACGCUAGCUAAUACCGCAUAAUAUUAAUUAUUGCAUGAUAAUUAAUUGAAAGGUGCAAUUGCACCACUACCAGAUGGACUUGCGUUGUAUUAGCUAGUAGGUGAGGUAACGGCUUACCUAGGCGACGAUACAUAGCCGACGUGAGAGGGGGAAGGGGCACAGAGAGGGUGAGAGGCGACACUGGGUCUUACGGGAGGCAGCAGCACGUAAUCUACGGAGAAGGGCGGAAGUCUGACCGAGGGACGGCAGGCGGGUGAAGAAGGUUUUCGGAUCGGAAAGCGCUGUUGUAAGAGAAGAACGGGUGUGCGUGUGAAAAGGUCACACUGAGACGGUAUCGUACCAGAACGCGACGGCUAACCACG
This 503-nucleotide ribosomal RNA is filed under the name uncultured bacterium. RNAcentral describes it as "partial 16S ribosomal RNA". It matches the Rfam family "Bacterial small subunit ribosomal RNA", at positions 28 to 505 of the family's 1533-position model. The record is from RNAcentral.